UAUGAAGUUGGACAGUAAAGUGGGUUUGUAUUUGAAAAUCAGCCAUGAUUAUUUGGGAAAAAUGGAGCUGCCUUGAGGCUCCCAUUUCUUGUUUCUUGUUUCUAAUAAUCGUCAGUGAGAAGACUUUCCUCCUUCCUUGGCUCUUUCAGUGAGAACUCUCUGUCUCCAACCACUUUGAAAUGUUUAUAAGCUGCAAGUGGUGAAGCGUUGAUAAAAGGAAAAUUAUGGAAGUUCCCAGAUUCUGCUGAGCGUUUUCUGUUUUUAAUUGCAAUUUGGCAGAGUCCAGAAAAGAUUUCAACUGAAAUACUUGGAAGAACUUUUGAAUACUAGACGUAUUUUCUCCAUUGUUUCCAUUCCAUUGUUCUGCAACAUUGCGCUGAGAGUCGACAAAUUGGCCAUUCAUAUUCUCCUACCAUUGACAAUCCUCCGGCCAAGGGUGAAGAGAUGUUGGACAUUGCUUCUGUAUUGCUGCAGUCAUAACACAGGAAGGCUGAGGUCAAUGCAAUCUUUACUGUCCCACUGACUGAGAUCACUUGAUGUCCUUGAGAAGGUGGUAGUGAGCUAUCUUCUUGAAUCUCUGCAGUCCAUUUGCUGUGGUAGACCCAAAGUUGUGGAGAGUUCUGAAGAAGUCAUAUUGAAGUUGAAACUUUAACUGUUGUUUCUCACUCUACAGGUGCUGGUGGACCUGCUGAAUUUCUCCAGCACUUUCUGCAUUUUAUUUCAGAAAGCAAUGCUGGAUGAACUUCCUCAAGUAGGUGGCAGAUGCUGUGGGGUAAGGAAGGUAGAGAGUGAUGUCCGUGGGCUUUCAGAAUAUCUUUGAUAGAGGGGACUAUUAAAGAAAAUUUAAGAUAGUGAAAUUGGCAGUUGUAAUUUAAAACAAUGAUGCUAGAAGACAUAAUGACGCUGAAAGAUGCAAAAAGGCAACCUCCCGUUAUUGAGGGAUCCAGAAAAAGGGAACAUGGGUAAAAGGAUAACCCAAAGAGAUUUACAAUAGAAAGCACAAGGAAUUAUCCUCACAGGGAGUGACUACCAGGUUAAUGAUAGAAGCAGAGGCUGUUGUCGGCAUUUAAGACUAGAUCAGGCAGAAGGUUGAAGGACAGAAACAUUUAGCAAAAACGAGAGCCAAAAGAUUGCCAGCUGGAGGACUGAACAGAAUGGGCCUAAUGACCGAUUUGUUUGUUGUGGUUUUUAGUUAAAUAGAUCUGAGUGCAUCUUCCAUCAUGUCACUGUGCUGAAGUGCCGAGUGAGGUCCAGACCAGUGUGAGGUGCCAUGAUGUAUUUAACUUAAUGAAGAUACAGCAGCUGCAGUAUAUAUCACACAAAUAGCUAAGCAGGGAAAGUCCAGAUGUGAGAUGUCAAUCUUUAGAAUGAUUAAAAAUAACUAUAACAGAUGUAUGUUAAGUACAAUUCUUUUUGGAAUGAUUUGUAAAACAAGUAUUCCUCCCAUCAGACUUCCCUCCUUCUUUAAAUAAUUAAGCUUCAUUCAUAUCAAUUAUUAGACAUUACCCGUCUGCUCCAUCAUAUUCACUGUUAAUAUGACAAUAAAAGAUAAUCUUAAAAAUA
Molecule: long non-coding RNA, 1563 nt
Organism: Rhincodon typus (whale shark)
Lineage: Eukaryota; Metazoa; Chordata; Chondrichthyes; Orectolobiformes; Rhincodontidae
Exons: 2
Source: RefSeq, a predicted model, not a curated record